CCUACGGGAGGCAGCAGUGAGGAAUAUUGGUCAAUGGACGAGAGUCUGAACCAGCCACGCAGCGUGAAGGAUGACUGCCCUCUGGGUUGUAAACUUCUUUUAUAUGGGAAUAAAAUGUUCCACGUGUGGGAUUUUGUAUGUACCAUAUGAAUAAGGAUCGGCUAACUCCGUGCCAGCAGCCGCGGUAAUACGGAGGAUCCGAGCGUUAUCCGGAUUUAUUGGGUUUAAAGGGAGCGUAGGUGGAUUGUUAAGUCAGUUGUGAAAGUUGGCGGCUCAACCGUAAAAUUGCAGUUGAAACUGGCAGUCUUGAGUACAGGAGAGGUGGGCGGAAUUCGUGGUGUAGCGGUGAAAUGCUUAGAUAUCACGAAGAACUCCGAUUGCGAAGGCAGUUCACUGGACUGCAACUGACACUGAGGCUCGAAAGUGUGGGUAUCAAACAGGAUUAGAUACCCCUGUAGUC
This 460-nucleotide ribosomal RNA is filed under the name uncultured bacterium. RNAcentral describes it as "partial 16S ribosomal RNA". It matches the Rfam family "Bacterial small subunit ribosomal RNA", at positions 338 to 795 of the family's 1533-position model. The record is from RNAcentral.